AAAAAUGAAAAAAAAAAUCUUUCAAGGCAUAGUGCAAAAAAAAAAAUUCUUGCUUAGAAGAUAGGCCAAGUGGUGUACUGGAGGGAGGGCUCAGGGGAGCUGAGCCCCCUUGUUGAAAUUUCAUGUUGACUUGGGGGGCUGCACGUUGGUCAAAUUUAGCAAAAUUUCUCCCACUCGUGCGGGUUCGUAUUGACAGCGGACAUAUUACAGAAAGUGGCCAGUUCUUUGAAAAAUGCAAAAGUUUCAAUUUUACACCGCAAGUCCACUGACAAUAUGAGCCUGCGAUCCUGGGAGAAAAUUUGCUGAAUGUGACCAGCGUGCUGAGCCCCC
Paramuricea clavata is the source of this 330-nucleotide non-coding RNA. The record is from the annotation of a GenBank genome assembly. NCBI's taxonomy places the organism in Eukaryota, Metazoa, Cnidaria, Anthozoa, Malacalcyonacea, Plexauridae.